Molecule: non-coding RNA, 21 nt
Filed under: Caenorhabditis elegans
Lineage: Eukaryota; Metazoa; Nematoda; Chromadorea; Rhabditida; Rhabditidae
Source: RNAcentral
UGGAUUUUUCUUGUAGACUUU